GUCCUGGUAGCUCAGCUGGAUAGAGCAAUGGCCUUCUAAGCCAUCGGUCGGGGGUUCAAAUCCCUCCCAGGACG
Molecule: transfer RNA, 74 nt
Filed under: Staphylococcus aureus
Lineage: Bacteria; Bacillati; Bacillota; Bacilli; Caryophanales; Staphylococcaceae
Also listed under: 1 other name
Description: tRNA-Arg
Rfam family: tRNA
About the family: Transfer RNA (tRNA) molecules are approximately 80 nucleotides in length. Their secondary structure includes four short double-helical elements and three loops (D, anti-codon, and T loops).
Source: RNAcentral